GAUGAACGCUGGCGGCGUGCCUAAUACAUGCAAGUCGAGCGAAUGGAUUAAGAGCUUGCUCUUAUGAAGUUAGCGGCGGACGGGUGAGUAACACGUGAGUAACCUGCCCAUAAGACUGGGAUAACUCCGGGAAACCGGGUCUAAUACCGGUUAAUAUUUUGAACUGCAUGGUUCAAAAUUGAAAGGCGGCUUCGGCUGUCACUUAUGGCUGGACCCGCGUCGCAUUAGCAAGUUGGUGGGGUAACGGCUCACCAAGGCAACGAUGCGGAGCCGACCUGAGAGGGUGACCGGACACACUGGGACUGAGACACGGCCCAGACUCCUACGGGAGGCAGCAGUAGGGAAUCUUCCGCAAUGGACGAAAGUCUGACGGAGCAACGCCGCGUGAGUGAUGAAGGCUUUCGGGUCGUAAAACUCUGUUGUUAGGGAAGAACAAGUGCUAGUUGAAUAAGCUGGCACCUUGACGGUACCUAACCAGAAAGCCACGGCUAACUACGUGCCAGCAGCCGCCGUAA
This 515-nucleotide ribosomal RNA is filed under the name uncultured bacterium. RNAcentral describes it as "partial 16S ribosomal RNA". It matches the Rfam family "Bacterial small subunit ribosomal RNA", at positions 28 to 523 of the family's 1533-position model. The record is from RNAcentral.